Molecule: long non-coding RNA, 4131 nt
Filed under: Sarcophilus harrisii (Tasmanian devil)
Lineage: Eukaryota; Metazoa; Chordata; Mammalia; Dasyuromorphia; Dasyuridae
Description: lncRNA (ENSSHAG00000022198.1)
Source: RNAcentral
GGGAAACAGCACCAGGGAGGUUCCCCUGACCUGAGAGUGUUUCUAACAAUCUCCUUGCUUCUGAUUUGAUUCUCCUCUGGCUUGAUUCCCUGUCAAGGUAAGCCCCCCAUUUUUUCUCCAAGCCACUGGGAGGUUUGCUGGGUCAUCACGCUCAGCAAGUUUUCCUUGACUGAGGACACUCAGACUUGGAAAUUCUUGCAAUUUUGGGCAAAAUUCCUAGGGAACUUUUGCCACCUUUUCACUUUCUUUGGGAUGCCAGAGGAGACAAAGUGCUAUAGGAUGGCUUUUGGCAAAAUUCAAUGCCUUUCAUGUCAUUUUUGUCUGUGUCUGCAUCUUUGUGCAUAAUGUCUGUGUCAUGUUUGCUCUGUGAACCAGAUUCUGUUACCUGGAAAGAUUUAAAAUGUAGCCAGGAAGAAAAAAACUUCUAUGCCAUAGUUAGAAUGUUGGGAAAAUUAUGACUCCCACCUUAAAAAGGGAAAAAGCCUAACUUUUUUUUUCCUAUGGACCUCAGCUCUGGCCAAGCUAGGGGCUGCAGAAAUAAAUUUAGCUAAUUAAAAUUAAGAAGUCUGGCAAUUAAUCAUUUUAAGAUUGCAAGAAAAAUUCCUGAAACAUUGAGGAUAAUUCCAGGAAUUUACCCCGUUCUAAAAGAAAAAAAAGAAAAAACAAACUAGGUAAAUAGCAACUUUUUUCUAACUCUUCCUUGAUUCCCAUCUUGCGUGGAGUCCUCUUCUUCUCCUUUGGGUAAGCACCCCAGAAAGGUAUUAAGGGACUCUCCACUCCAUUCCCCGGAGUCCUGAGUCUAUCUCAUUUGUGGGGAUUGCUAUCAAGAUCAAUAUAGCCCAAGUCCCUCUAUUUGCUAACUCUCUUCAUCACAGAUCAGAUUAAGAGAAUGCGAAAGAACUAUAGGAAAACUCAAAUUCUGUCCCACCUGUAGAAACAGGGGUAGCAGCAACAGCUGUGUAGACCCUAAACAAGCCUUGCCCAAACUCCUCCCCAGACCAGCUUGGGGGAAUGGGAUGGAGUGGAGGUCAGGCUAAGUCCUGGCACUUGAAACCACCAUCAAAGGGAGAUCUUGGUACCAGCCACCAUAGCCUUCAGCAGGAGGCUGCACAGCUCUCUGUGCAGCAACUGCCUGGGAAGGAUCUGGGCACCUCUGGUAUCACCCAGCAUGACAGUGUGAGGCGAGAAAGCCAGUCAACCUCUGCACUUGAGCGCUCUGAAUGUCCACUGUCCAGACAACGAUGCAUACGCCACUUCUCUUGGACGGACGCUUCCGACGGACUAAAUCUCUAAACUCCUUCGCAGCUUGAAAACUGCCACAUCUAAGAUCAUCAGUGGAGAAGCAGGCAGAGGAAGGCGCGGUUCUCCCGCGGCAACCAGGGCCAUGGCCCGCCUCUCCAUCUGCGUCUGGCCGCUGGACCGAGACGGUGCUGGAGGUCGGCAGCGGGUGACCCCGCGCGGCCCCGCAGUCACCCACAGGUCGCGGCACGCCCUCCCCUUCGCGGACAAAUGCAGGGCCCCGCCCUCCCCCACGCCCGCCGAGGGCGUGGCUCCCGGCGGCUUCUGAGCCUCGUUUUACAGAGUCGCAGUUUUAAGGCUGGAAGAGGCCUCGGGACCCAACCCAGCCCCAUAGCACUCAGAUACCUAAAGCGUUAACAUCUGACAAGUCAACCCGGGGAGGCGGGAUCCUCAGCGGGGAGAGGGAGAGCCCGAGGGAUUUACGACUUGUCGGAAACGGAGACAGCCAAUCCCCGCGUAAAGUCCGAACGGGGAGGGAAGAGGCACAUGACGAGUUCCUCCAUACGCCGGGCUCCGGGCUGAGCGCUUUACAGAUGUCUUCCCUUCCCCCCACCUUCUCUACGACGCGGGGAAGGGGACCGCGCCGCGAGGGCGGAGGGGAGAAAGGCUUCCCCUGGGUCCCAGAGAAGCCGGAUCUGGGAUCAACCAAACGAAGCGGCGGUCGCGCACCGGGAGACACGGGAUCUCCCCCCCCCCCCCCCCCCCCCCCCCCCCCCCCCCCCCCCCCGGACCAGGCCCACCGGAAGAACACGCCCUUUCCCCUCCAGCACCCCCGUUUAACCACCCAUUCCGGGCUGGGAGAGGGAAACCUUCGCAGAAGCGGAAACGGAAGUCGAUCCUCACCUCCUCCCUCCGUGGGGGCGGGAGCCGCCUCGCGAGGACUUGGCUCCUUCUGCGCCUGCUCCGACGUGGGGGUGGGGCGGGAGUAGCGGUCGCGUGCGCGUGCGCGUGCGCGGCACUUGUUGAAGCUGCUGCUCCCGGGCCGGCGCGCGCAAAGCAGGGAGACUCCGUGAGGGGGAGAGAGCGGCGUCCCGGAAGCGCUUUCUUUCUCUGAGUUCCCUUAUUUGUUCCCCUGCUGACCGCCGGUGUCUUACCUUCAUUUCAGUUACAUUCCCGUAUAAGUACCUACUGUGUGCACGAUACCGGUAGCCGCCUGCUCUCAGGGAGCGCGUCAUGUCUCGGAGGAGAGCGCGUGCGAGCCAUCUACAGAACAAGGAGGGAGUAAUUGUGCUGCCUCCGUGCUGGCGGCAAACCGCCUCCCCCACCCUUCCCGGCCCCGAGGGCUUCUCUCCGCCUCCUGGUGAUCUUCUGCCUCAGGCUAAUAAUAGAACAAAGAACACCCCAGAAUAAAGGACCUCUCCAAUUUGGAAGCAAGAUAACGAACUGUUCGGUUCAAGCAGGAGACGGGGAUGAAGAGAGGGGCGUGCCUUAGCAUUCUCCGGGGCAGUGGUUCUCAAAGUGUGCUCUAGAGGAUCUCUGAAACCCUUUUAGAGGGUCUACAAAUCCAAAAAUAGUCUUUAUUUCCAGUAUGGUAAAUGUCUAUAAAUAUAACGCAGAUAAACAAAAACGCUUUCUCGAUAAUUUUUAAUAGGAUAAAAGAUACUGAAAACAAAAGUUUGAGAAGCACCGCGCUUGACCAUCUUCUUCCCCCCCCCCCCCCCCCAACCUGUCAGAACCGAAUCAUGGCCCUUCCUAGAAUUUCCACUCACCGGUGCUCUGCCCCUCCCCCUCCCCCCUUGCCUUUGUUUCUCUGAUCCCUGGACCCCUAUAAAAGUCUCUGGAAUUACUUGAUCAGGGCUGGGUGCUUCGGGACAAGAGUCCCAUCCAGUCUACUCUCAAAGCUCUCCGAUCAUAAACUAUGAAAAACUCUUCUCUCGGUCUCGCCUCAGUUUCUCCAGCAUUACAUGACUAAAAUUAAAAGCACUGGAAUUAAGAGAGGUUGUGGAAGGAAUUUUAAUCUUAAUCAGGAUUUUUAAAAAGCCAGGGAGGUGGAGAGCGAUGACAUUUCCGGUCUGGGUGAGAAUGCCCAGAGCUGAGAAGUGGCAGAUCUUGGUGCACCAGCUGGAGGCCAGGGUCAUGGCGUUGAAGAGUUUGUUUGGAGGAGUAAGGUGUGAAGAAGGCAGGAAGGGGAUAGGUUAUGAAGGGCUUUGAAAACCAAACCAAACAUUUUGUGUUUGCUAAUGUUGAGGUUCAAAAGGGAGACCCCCCCAAAAAAGGAUGGGGUUGAAGACUGGUGUGGCAAGAUAUAGUGAAAGAAUUUGCAAGCUUGAGCCCAUUUCCGAGUCAAGGGAUAGAGUUGAUUGUAAUUUUAACAGCCGGUUGAAGGGAUUUAGCAAAGAAUCAGGAGCAAGAAGAUAAAUGUGUAGGAAAAGAGGGAUCCAGUUCUUCAUGUCAGUGAUAGGCUAAUUUUAUGGCUUAGAGGUAGAGCUGGGGAGUGGUCUGACAUACACCUUAAUAUUAUAUUUUAUGGUUUAGAGGGGAAGGAGUAGUAUGAUAUGUGUACUUCAAUAUUUCUAGGAGCAUACUAUGGUAUUUCUAAAGCCAGGAUAUUAUAGAAUAUUAUAAGAAAACCCCUAAAUAUCCUGUACACAUUAUAAACUAGAUAGACAUCCAUCUUUCAAACCAAAACCUUGAUUCAUCUGUUUGAUGUUAAAAAGAAAAAAAAGUUGCAAAAAUUUUAAUACUGACAUAGUAUACAAACUUAAAUUUUAGCAAAAUUUUACUUAUUGUUGUAAACUUUUGAGAUUGUUGACAAACAGAUUGUUAGAAAAAUAGCACUCCUAAGGUCUGGGGGCCUCAGGAUUACUGCUGUAUUUCUUCUAGAAGCUGCAC